AGAGUUUGAUCCUGGCUCAGAGCGAACGCUGGCGGCAGGCUUAACACAUGCAAGUCGAACGGGCGUAGCAAUACGUCAGUGGCAGACGGGUGAGUAACGCGUGGGAACGUACCUUUUGGUUCGGAACAACCCAGGGAAACUUGGGCUAAUACCGGAUAAGCCCUUACGGGGAAAGAUUUAUCGCCGAAAGAUCGGCCCGCGUCUGAUUAGCUUGUUGGUGAGGUAACAGCUCACCAAGGCGACGAUCAGUAGCUGGUCUGAGAGGAUGAUCAGCCACAUUGGGACUGAGACACGGCCCAAACUCCUACGGGAGGCAGCAGUGGGGAAUAUUGGACAAUGGGCGCAAGCCUGAUCCAGCCAUGCCGCGUGAGUGAUGAAGGCCCUAGGGUUGUAAAGCUCUUUUGUGCGGGAAGAUAAUGACGGUACCGCAAGAAUAAGCCCCGGCUAACUUCGUGCCAGCAGCCGCGGUAAUACGAAGGGGGCUAGCGUUGCUCUGAAUUACUGGGCGUAAAGGGUGCGUAUGCGGGUCUUUAAGUCAGGGGUGAAAUCCUGGAGCUCAACUCCAGAACUGCCUUUGAUACUGAGGAUCUUGAGUUCGGGAGAGGUGAGUGGAACUGCGAGUGUAGAGGUGAAAUUCGUAGAUAUUCGCAAGAACACCCAGUGGCGAAGGCGGCUCACUGGCCCGAUACUGACGCUGAGGUAUUAAUGCGUGGGGAGCAAACAGGAUUAG
This 730-nucleotide ribosomal RNA is filed under the name uncultured bacterium. RNAcentral describes it as "bacterial SSU rRNA". It matches the Rfam family "Bacterial small subunit ribosomal RNA", at positions 8 to 781 of the family's 1533-position model. The record is from RNAcentral.